UUUUUAUUUUAUAGGAAAUUCAACGAGAUUUCAUUGCAUAUGAUUAAUUUUUUUCUCUAAUUCAAUGUUUUAAGCUAAAUCCAGGCAUUUAAUGAAUCGAUAUAAAGUUUAACAUUUGUAAAAAAUAGUUUAUUGUUUACAUUUCAACAGAGACCUAUAAUACAAUUGCUCUGAUUUCAACAAUAUUGUAUAUCCUAUAAUAUCUAUCGACAGAGUUAUCGGUCCCGAAUAGGACUGAUAUAGUUGGGUAUGG
Molecule: long non-coding RNA, 253 nt
Filed under: Mytilus galloprovincialis (Mediterranean mussel)
Lineage: Eukaryota; Metazoa; Mollusca; Bivalvia; Mytilida; Mytilidae
Source: RNAcentral